GAUGCUUUCAACGGUUUGUUAGAAUUCUCCAUUAGCAAAACACACACAAAAACUUGGACAAUGAUGAAUCUUUAC
Etheostoma cragini (Arkansas darter) is the source of this 75-nucleotide long non-coding RNA. RefSeq lists it as uncharacterized. The transcript is spliced from 3 exons. NCBI's taxonomy places the organism in Eukaryota, Metazoa, Chordata, Actinopteri, Perciformes, Percidae. The record is from RefSeq and is a predicted model, not a curated record.